This 588-nucleotide long non-coding RNA is filed under the name Mustela putorius furo (domestic ferret). RNAcentral describes it as "lncRNA (ENSMPUG00000025251.1)". Lineage: Eukaryota; Metazoa; Chordata; Mammalia; Carnivora; Mustelidae. The record is from RNAcentral.
UUCUUUAUUUUGAUAGCUGGGGCUCCGGUGUGGACCCAACAGCCCAGAAGUUGCCUGUAACCAGUUUAAGUGACCUUAAGCUGACCUUACCUGCUGCCUGACCUGUUUCUACAUCCUAAGAUGCUUAUUGCACAACCAGAAACCUCCUGUCGAAAAUACAGCUGGAAGCCAGCGUAAAUGGAGGAUGGAUUUAUUUUAGAGAAAGAACACGAGCAGGAAGCGCAGAAGGAGAAGGAGACAGAAUCUCAAGCAGACGCCCGCCAAGCACAGGGCCCAGGGCAGGGUUCCACGGGGACCUGGAUCCCACCAAUCCCGAGACCACGAUGGGAGCCGAAACCAUGAGCCAGACACUCAGCUGACUGCGGCACCCGGCAGACCCAAAAGCUGACCGAUCUUUUAAAACAUCUGAGGUAAGAUCUUACUUUUCCUAAACAAAAAGUCAUUGUCUCCCCGCUUUCAUUAGUGCGUUUCACUACCGAUCUGAAAUGCCGUGUCUUUGAAGAAAAAAGCUUUUUAUUAUGGAAAAUGUCAAAUGACACAAAAGCAAUAUAGUGAGACCACGACCCCCCCCCCCAAAUACCUCUCUCC